GACGAACGCUGGCGGCGUGCUUAACACAUGCAAGUCGAACGGAAAGGCCCUGCUUUUGUGGGGUGCUCGAGUGGCGAACGGGUGAGUAACACGUGAGUAACCUGCCCUUGACUUUGGGAUAACUUCAGGAAACUGGGGCUAAUACCGGAUAGGAGCUCCUGCUGCAUGGUGGGGGUUGGAAAGUUUCGGCGGUUGGGGAUGGACUCGCGGCUUAUCAGCUUGUUGGUGGGGUAGUGGCUUACCAAGGCUUUGACGGGUAGCCGGCCUGAGAGGGUGACCGGCAAAAUGGGGAAGGAGGAAGGACGAAGACGCGGAGGGGGGGAAGAAGGGGGAAAUAUGGAAAAGGGGGGGAGGGCGUGAAGAAGAAACCGGGGGGGGGGGAGGACGGCCUUGGGUUGAAAAACGGUUGUCGCCGGAGAAAAGGCGGGGGGGAAGGGAAGGGAAAAAGAAGAACCGGAAAAAUCAGGG
RNAcentral lists this ribosomal RNA (468 nucleotides) under uncultured bacterium. RNAcentral describes it as "partial 16S ribosomal RNA". The stretch from base 20 to 332 matches the Rfam family "Bacterial small subunit ribosomal RNA", at positions 47 to 358 of the family's 1533-position model. The record is from RNAcentral.